Molecule: non-coding RNA, 87 nt
Filed under: Pseudomonas protegens Pf-5
Lineage: Bacteria; Pseudomonadati; Pseudomonadota; Gammaproteobacteria; Pseudomonadales; Pseudomonadaceae
Also listed under: 1 other name
Description: gyrA RNA
Rfam family: gyrA RNA
Source: RNAcentral
ACGUGAGUUGGGUCCGGGCCUGUAUUGGGGCUCAGCGAGUUUGGCAGAGCUCAGGAGGGUUUGCCGGACGUCCUUAAGAGUGCAAAG